Molecule: ribosomal RNA, 403 nt
Filed under: uncultured bacterium
Lineage: Bacteria
Description: bacterial SSU rRNA
Rfam family: Bacterial small subunit ribosomal RNA
Source: RNAcentral
UGGGGAAUAUUGGACAAUGGGCGAAAGCCUGAUCCAGCAAUGCCGCGUGUGUGAAGAAGGUCUUCGGAUUGUAAAGCACUUUCGACGGGGACGAUGAUGACGGUACCCGUAGAAGAAGCCCCGGCUAACUUCGUGCCAGCAGCCGCGGUAAUACGAAGGGGGCUAGCGUUGCUCGGAAUGACUGGGCGUAAAGGGCGCGUAGGCGGAUGGCACAGUCAGAUGUGAAAUUCCCGGGCUUAACCUGGGGGCUGCAUUUGAUACGUGUUGUCUAGAGUGAGGAAGAGGGUUGUGGAAUUCCCAGUGUAGAGGUGAAAUUCGUAGAUAUUGGGAAGAACACCGGUGGCGAAGGCGGCAACCUGGUCCUUGACUGACGCUGAGGCGCGAAAGCGUGGGGAGCAAACAG